This 496-nucleotide ribosomal RNA is filed under the name uncultured bacterium. RNAcentral describes it as "partial 16S ribosomal RNA". It matches the Rfam family "Bacterial small subunit ribosomal RNA", at positions 28 to 506 of the family's 1533-position model. The record is from RNAcentral.
GAUGAACGCUGGCGGCGUGCCUAAUACAUGCAAGUCGAGCGAACAGACGAGGAGCUUGCUCCUCUGACGUUAGCGGCGGACGGGUGAGUAACACGUGGAUAACCUACCUAUAAGACUGGGAUAACUUCGGGAAACCGGAGCUAAUACCGGAUAAUAUAUUGAACCGCAUGGUUCAAUAGUGAAAGACGGUUUUGCUGUCACUUAUAGAUGGAUCCGCGCCGCAUUAGCUAGUUGGUAAGGUAACGGCUUACCAAGGCAACGAUGCGUAGCCGACCUGAGAGGGUGAUCGGCCACACUUGAACUGAGACACGGUCCAGACUCCUACGGGAGGCAGCAGUAGGGAAUCUUCCGCAAUGGGCGAAAGCUUGACGGAGCCACGCCGCGUGAGUGAUGAAGGUCUUCGGAUCGUAAAACUCUGUUAUUAGGGAAGAACAAAUGUGUAAGUAACUAUGCACGUCUUGACGGUACCUAAUCAGAAAGCCACGGCUAACUACGU